Molecule: small nuclear RNA, 177 nt
Organism: Bos grunniens (domestic yak)
Lineage: Eukaryota; Metazoa; Chordata; Mammalia; Artiodactyla; Bovidae
Gene: U2
Rfam family: U2 spliceosomal RNA
About the family: U2 is a small nuclear RNA (snRNA) component of the spliceosome (involved in pre-mRNA splicing). Complementary binding between U2 snRNA (in an area lying towards the 5' end but 3' to hairpin I) and the branchpoint sequence (BPS) of the intron results the bulging out of an unpaired adenosine, on the BPS, which initiates a nucleophilic attack at the intronic 5' splice site, thus starting the first of two transesterification reactions that mediate splicing.
Source: Ensembl
AAUGCUUUUUGGCCUUUUGCCUAGUAGUAUAUGUUCUUGUCAGCUUAGUAUCUGAUACAUAUUCUGAGGACAAUGAAUUAAACUAUUUCUGGAACUAGGAGAUGGAAAGGGAGCUUGCUCCAUCCACUCCACCCAUCGAUCUGGUAUUGCAGUACUUUCACAAAUGGUACACCCACU